UGGUGUGGACACUGCAAAUAACUAGCCGCAAUCUUAGAAGAAGUGGCUUUCUAAUUCGAGUAUGAUCCAGGUGUUAACCAUCGCAAAACUCGAUGGAACCAAAAACGACAUUCCAAGCGAGUCAUUUGAUGUUAAAAGGUUACAAGACCCGAACUGAUCUUUAAAUCAUCAAGUGGUAAACUUGUGCAACAUGAAAGACACAUGACAAAGGAGGACUUGAUUAAGUUCAUUUAAAAGAAUCACGUAGUCACUUUCAAGUUGACUUCUUCGACGGACUUUAAAGAAAUCUUGUUUUUUUUUCACUCUUAUGUAGUUG
RNAcentral lists this long non-coding RNA (316 nucleotides) under Helianthus annuus (common sunflower). RNAcentral's name for it is "sRNA HanXRQr2_Chr09g0373521". Lineage: Eukaryota; Viridiplantae; Streptophyta; Magnoliopsida; Asterales; Asteraceae. The record is from RNAcentral.